Long non-coding RNA from Chinchilla lanigera (long-tailed chinchilla), 1542 nucleotides. RefSeq lists it as uncharacterized. NCBI's taxonomy places the organism in Eukaryota, Metazoa, Chordata, Mammalia, Rodentia, Chinchillidae. The record is from RefSeq and is a predicted model, not a curated record. The transcript is spliced from 3 exons.
CCGGCUCCAGGCAGAGGAGUCUAUUUGGCUGAUGAGGAAAACAGGCCUGCAGAAAGCCAGUACCUUGCAGGGCAACACCAGUGUCUGCCACUCAGGUGUUGCCUGGACAGGGUGGCACUGGUGAGGUAGAGGCCACCUGGGCAUCAGGACCCCCAGCCUGGUGGGUCCCAGGUCCCCCCAUACGCUGGGUGACCCAGGAAGGUUCCUUUAAGCCACUCCUCUAGCAGCCCCCUCCUCCUCCAAAAAGAGGGCCUGGCCUGGACAAGCAGGGGGCUGCAAGAUGCCAGGGGCCACCCUGGCGAUGCUGCUAACUCAUAGAGGCUUUCUACGUGCACAGGGCCAAGUCCUUCACCUGUGGUGGCUCAGGCCCCCAGAUGGUACCAGAGAGGGGAGUACCCCAGGAAGUCUGGACAUGGCCAUUCCGGACAGUACCAAAGGCUGCUGGGAGAGAAGGUCAGAAGCCAGCCAGGAGAGUGACAGCCAAGUUCUCUCUACUGUGUCCCCAGACUUGGGGAGAGUGACAGAGGAGCACAGAACUGAGCAUGGCUCUGCUGGGUGGCCCCUCUGCCUGGGGGGCUCGAGGAACUACAGGAAGUGGGGGGAGGCUGCCAAGCAUCUGGCUGCCAGCUGGGCCCUGCUCACCACCACCACGGCCCCAAGUCACACCUUUUCAAAUGAGCCUUUUGGGUGAGAUCCCAAAUCCAGCGUCACCAGGCAAGCAAGGGGCCCCUAACUACCCAGGGUGCCCCAAGGUUUCUGGGACCCUUCUGCUCCCACCCUCAAAACCUCUGGCUUCCUGCUAGGAGGCCACAGACCAAACCUCCCUGUCCCUACUCUACACGUGUGGAAAUCAAGGCUCAGAGCCAUUCUGGACAGCACUCAUCAGAACUGGCCAGAGACUAGACUUGAACCCAGACCUCCAGGCUUUACUCUAGGGCCCUUCCCAGUACUCCUCAGGGCCAGACCCAAGGCCCUGGGCAGGAUUGACUUCUGGUCCCCAUCUUCCUGCCUUGAUCUGCCCUCCAGCUCCAGCUCCCUGCAUUCUGGGAUCCACCUGCCCCCCAGCUUGGCCCCUAAUCAGUCUCACAGAGGUUCUCAUGCAUGCGCAUGGGCCAGGGAGCACAGUGCAGUGGGGGACCUAGCCAGGAAGAAGCCCUCACCGGAGGGCCGGCCCCAAACCCACCUGGGGAGUCAGCAUCUGCUCUGCUUAGGAAUGGAGGGCAGGGAGCAGCCACCUCCAGGAGCCCAGGUGCUCUGUGAACACCUAGAGGGAGAGGGCGCCGUCGCCUCCCGAAUCCUGGCUGGUCCCCAAGCAGGCACUGCCCCCUGGAGGCCAGCCUCGAGACCACAGUGGGGCUCCAGGGCCUGCUGGUAUGUUUCCUGGAAGUGGGGUGGGGGUGUUCAUCAUGGGUCAGAGCCACCCACAAGACUCCCCAGAUGGUCGCCAAAGCCUACUCCCUGCCAGGGGCUCUCAAAGGAUUCCUUGGGUCUCAUGGGCCCAUCUCAUGGGAAGAUCUCCCCAGGGGUCACAGGACACCUACA